Molecule: ribosomal RNA, 841 nt
Filed under: uncultured Gammaproteobacteria bacterium
Lineage: Bacteria; Pseudomonadati; Pseudomonadota; Gammaproteobacteria
Description: bacterial SSU rRNA
Rfam family: Bacterial small subunit ribosomal RNA
Source: RNAcentral
CGUUGGCGGCACGCUUUAGACAUGCAAGUCGAACGAGAAAGCACUUCGGUGUGAGUACAGUGGCGGACGGGUGAGUAACGCGUAGGAAUCUACCUAGUAGUGGGGGACAACUCGGGGAAACUCGAGCUAAUACCGCAUACGCUCUUAGGAGGAAAGUGGGGGAUCUUCGGACCUCACGCUAUUAGAGGAGCCUGCGUUAGAUUAGCUAGUUGGUGAGGUAAAAGCUCACCAAGGCGACGAUCUAUAGCUGGUCUGAGAGGACGAUCAGCCACACUGGAACUGAGACACGGUCCAGACUUCUACGGAAGGCAGCAGUCAGGAAUAUUGGGCAAUGGGCGAAAGCCUGACCCAGCGAUGCCGCGUGUGUGAAGAAGGCCCUAGGGUUGUAAAGCACUUUCAGUCGUGAAGAAAAGCAUUGGGUUAAUACCCCGAUGUGUUGACGUUAACGACAGAAGAAGUACCGGCUAACUCCGUGCCAGCAGCCGCGGUAAUACGGAGGGUACGAACGUUAAUCGGAAUUACUGGGCGUAAAGCGCGCGUAGGCGGUUUGAUAAGUGGGAUGUGAAAGCCCCGGGCUCAACCUGGGAACUGCAUUCCAAACUGUCAGACUAGAGUGUGGUAGAGGGAGGUAGAAUUUCCUGUGUAGCGGUGAAAUGCGUAGAUAUAGGAAGGAAUACCGAUGGCGAAGGCAGCCUCCUGGACCAACACUGACGCUGAGGUGCGAAAGCGUGGGGAGCAAACAGGAUUAGAUACCCUGGUAGUCCACGCCGUAAACGAUGAGAACUAGCCGUUGGGGCCUUUAAGGCUUUGGUGGCGCAGCUAACGCGAUAAGUUCUCCGCC